AGGAUAAACGCUGGCGGCGUGCCUAACACAUGCAAGUCGAACGCUCUGGGUAACCAGAGAGUGGCGGACGGGUGAGUAACACGUGGGCAAUCUACCCUUAGGUGAGGAAUACCGGCGAGAAAUCGCCGACAAUACCGCAUGCGCUCUGCACAGAGCAAAGUCUGCAAAGACGCCUGAGGAUGAGCCUGCGCUCGAUUAGUUAGUUGGUGGGGUAAAAAGCCUACCAAGACGUCGAUCGAUAGCUGGUCUGAGAGGACGAUCAGCCACACUGGGAUUGAGAACGGCCCAGACUCCUACGGGGGGCAGCAGUGAGGAAUUUUCGUCAAUGGGGGCAACCCUGAACGAGCAACGCCGCGUGUAGGAAGAAGGUUUUCGGAUCGUAAACUACUUUUCUCUGGGACGAGAACGGACGGUACCAGAGGAAUCAGCCUCGGCUAACUACGCGCCAGCAGCCGC
RNAcentral lists this ribosomal RNA (456 nucleotides) under uncultured bacterium. RNAcentral's name for it is "SSU rRNA". It matches the Rfam family "Bacterial small subunit ribosomal RNA", at positions 26 to 518 of the family's 1533-position model. The record is from RNAcentral.